Molecule: non-coding RNA, 940 nt
Organism: Nelumbo nucifera (sacred lotus)
Lineage: Eukaryota; Viridiplantae; Streptophyta; Magnoliopsida; Proteales; Nelumbonaceae
Source: RefSeq, a predicted model, not a curated record
AUUAAACUGGAUUUGGUUUAAAGCCGAACCGAUUUAAUAAGUUAUGAAACAAACAGUAAAUUCGCAAAUAUUGGGUAGACCCGACCCGAAACAAUAUCUGUCACCUUUACCCGACGUGAAUACGCGCAUGUUGUGAUCACAGCCAAAACAUGACCAUUGGCAGCUCAUAAGCAACAAUGUAUGAGCCUCUCGGUCACCGGCGGCCAAAGGUAAAUGAUCGCCGGUGGUCGGUGAACUCAUCAGAUAUUAAUGAAGAGCCAGUGGUCGCCUGUAUUAAAAAAAAUACAUCCCCUGUAAGCCUGUUUUUUUAAUGAAACAUCCCCUGGCUGAAACUCGACCAUUGGCGGCUUCAUCUACAUGGAAGGUAUGACGAUCCUGGCCACCGGCAGCCACACAUAAAUGAUCGCCAGUGGUAGGCGAAGAGUGCAGCAGAUCCCUAAUAAAUUUUUAUAAUACCAUUAAUGCCCUUCGAAUAAAAGAGUAUAAGGUUUUGCCCAUCGACACAAUCUUCUCUGCAACCAGCGGUGGUUUCUCUCCUUUAGCCAACAUUGAGCGGCGAUCUAUUACCAGCGGUCGAAAUCGCAACAGUUAAAAUCGAUUUCUCGCCUCCUUCAUCUUCUCACUGAACCAGCGGCGGGAGUCGUUCCAGCAGCGAAGAUUUAUUACCAGCGGUCGAAAUCACAGUAGGUUGGUGUUUCAGAUCGACUGCUAUUUUCGUUUUUUGACUCUCAGAUGUUUUGUUUGAGAAUCAGUAAAUAGUUAAAAUCUGAUUUCCAUCCCUAGAAAAUAGUCAAAGGGACUAAUAGCAUGUCUUACUCUGAUUUCCAUCCAUUCRAUCAAGCACGCGAUUGAACAUGUGAAGUGGUUGGGAAAUCAAUACAGGACGUAUUAGACAUCGAAGAAUGUUCCUAAAACGCCUCGAGUUUGGUUGGGCACUCGC